Molecule: ribosomal RNA, 253 nt
Filed under: uncultured bacterium
Lineage: Bacteria
Description: partial 16S ribosomal RNA
Rfam family: Bacterial small subunit ribosomal RNA
Source: RNAcentral
UACGGGGGGGGCAAGCGUUGUUCGGAAUUACUGGGCGUAAAGGGCUCGUAGGUGGCCAACUAAGUCAGACGUGAAAUCCCUCGGCUUAACCGGGGAACUGCGUCUGAUACUGGAUGGCUUGAGUUUGGGAGAGGGACGCGGAAUUCCAGGUGUAGCGGUGAAAUGCGUAGAUAUCUGGAGGAACACCGGUGGCGAAGGCGGCGUCCUGGACCGAGAUUGACGCUGAGGCGCGAAAGCCAGGGGAGCAAACGGG